RNAcentral lists this ribosomal RNA (301 nucleotides) under uncultured bacterium. Its description in RNAcentral is "partial 16S ribosomal RNA". It matches the Rfam family "Bacterial small subunit ribosomal RNA", at positions 509 to 807 of the family's 1533-position model. The record is from RNAcentral.
CAGCAGCCGCGGGAAUACAGAGGGUGCGAGCGUUAAUCGGAUUUACUGGGCGUAAAGCGUGCGUAGGCGGCUAAUUGAGUCGGAUGUGAAAUCCCCGAGCUUAACUUGGGAAUUGCAUUCGAUACUGGUUAGCUAGAGUGUGGGAGAGGAUGGUAGAAUUCCAGGUGUAGCGGUGAAAUGCGUAGAGAUCUGGAGGAAUACCGAUGGCGAAGGCAGCCAUCUGGCCUAACACUGACGCUGAGGUACGAAAGCAUGGGGAGCAAACAGGAUUAGAUACCCGGGUAGUCCCUGUCUCUUAUAC